UCGUUGCUAAAGUCAGUGUUGUAAUGGUGAAUCGAGAUUUUUUAAUGAAGUGGGUUUGAUUACUCUUGACUGUUUUGUGAAAUCGAGUUACGUCUGUGAUUGAAGGAUUAAAAGGAUGUCUGUAGGAUUGAGUAUGCGGAGUGAAUGAAAUUUAUUGGGUUAAUCUAACAAGACAGUCAGUGGAUACAAGAUCGUAAGUACAAAGCGGUAUCGCAGAUUAGCAAAUUGGAUUGUUUGGGACUCUUUAACGUCUACAGACCUAUCGACUGGGGCAAAAAAGGACUUCGACAAGCCGUCGAAGGGCAUCCGUAUAGAUUUACGGUGUAUUCUUGUAGUCGUUUAUAUUCCAGCAGUCAAAAAUUGAUAGACUGCUUGACUAUU
Molecule: long non-coding RNA, 381 nt
Filed under: Physcomitrium patens
Lineage: Eukaryota; Viridiplantae; Streptophyta; Bryopsida; Funariales; Funariaceae
Description: long non-coding RNA (PPAT_LNC014812)
Source: RNAcentral